Molecule: unclassified non-coding RNA, 731 nt
Filed under: Hevea brasiliensis (rubber tree)
Lineage: Eukaryota; Viridiplantae; Streptophyta; Magnoliopsida; Malpighiales; Euphorbiaceae
Source: RNAcentral
GUGUACAGCUUUGGGGUUGUGCUAAUAGAGCUCUUGAGUGGAGAAAAACCCAUCUCUUCUACUAGAGCUGAGGAUGAGAAAAAUCUUGUAGCACAUUUCGUUUCAUUGGCAGAGGAGAAUUGCCUGCAUAAAAUUUUAGAUCCUCGAGUUGCAAGAGAAGCAAAGCCAGAGCUUGCUUAUGCAGUUGCAGAGCUUGCCAUCAAAUGUGUGAGGUCUAAUGCUAAGAAUAGGCCUUCAAUGAGGGAGGUAGCAAUGGAACUGGAUGGAAUGAUCAAAUCACAGCACUGCUUAGAGAUUGACCAAGAACAUCUAGUGAGAGAUGAAGAGGACAGUAGUACUAGUGAAACAGACAGCAAAUUUGGAGAAGAUGAUGUUGCCAUUUCCGAAGAGAUGGGAACUGUCUGCAUCUAGAUACUAACUAUCCCAAAUUGGCUGGAGGAUCAUAUUAAGGAUGAGAACUGCUGGUCUUAAUUUGGCAUGUGCAGUAUAUUGAAUGUUCCAAGCCAAUGUGUUUACGAGAAAGAAGAAUUACUACUCUAUUAUCACUAGCCAUUGCUCAUUGAUAAGAGUCAGGUUGUUUUUAUAUAAUUUCUCAGUGUUUUUAGUUGACAUUGUGCUUUUUUUUUAAAGCUUCUGAUAAGUGAAAUUAUGUUAUAUAAUCAUUAUAUACAAUGAUUAUGUUCUUACCAUUGAUAUGUAUUCACUAUAAUGGCAUGGGGUGCUCUUUUGAU